This 350-nucleotide transfer-messenger RNA is filed under the name Selenomonadaceae. Its description in RNAcentral is "RGIG9201 sp017635875 Standard tmRNA". It matches the Rfam family "transfer-messenger RNA". From Rfam's summary of the family: Bacterial tmRNA, also known as 10Sa RNA or SsrA, is named for its dual tRNA and mRNA-like properties. Its role is to liberate the mRNA from a stalled ribosome. RNAcentral also lists the same sequence under 1 other name. The record is from RNAcentral. Lineage: Bacteria; Bacillati; Bacillota; Negativicutes; Selenomonadales.
GGGGAUGCAAUGGUCUCGACGGGGAUAGAUGGGUUUUGAUAAGCGAGCCGGGGAGCAUAAGCCCGUUACCAAUAUGCAAACUUUUAUUUAAAUAUAAAAGCAGAUUACGAUUACGCUUUGGCAGCUUAAUUGCCACCUCUUCACGGAUUUCUCCCGCGAAUUUGUGAAAGAGGUCAACUGCGGGAUACCCGAACGCUUCGUUUUUUAGUUUAAGGGGAAAUUUCAAAAAACUCGGAGGUUUUGCCCCGUUUGCGGGGAAAAAUUCUCUUAAAAACAUACGCAAACUGCGCUCGGAGAAAGUUAAAGCACAAUGUUUUCGGACAGGAGUUCGAUUCUCCUCAUCUCCACCA